CAGUCGCCGCGGGAAUACGUAGGGUGCGAGCGUUAAUCGGAAUUACUGGGCGUAAAGCGUGCGCAGGCGGUUGUGUAAGACAGGUGUGAAAUCCCCGGGCUUAACCUGGGAACUGCGCUUGUGACUGCACAGCUAGAGUGCGGCAGAGGGGGAUGGAAUUCCGCGUGUAGCAGUGAAAUGCGUAGAUAUGCGGAGGAACACCGAUGGCGAAGGCAAUCCCCUGGGCCUGCACUGACGCUCAUGCACGAAAGCGUGGGGAGCAAACAGGAUUAGAUACCCCCGUAGUCCCUGUCUCUUAUAC
RNAcentral lists this ribosomal RNA (301 nucleotides) under uncultured bacterium. RNAcentral describes it as "partial 16S ribosomal RNA". It matches the Rfam family "Bacterial small subunit ribosomal RNA", at positions 509 to 807 of the family's 1533-position model. The record is from RNAcentral.